UGCAGUCGAACGGCAGCGGACUCUUCGGAGUGCCGGCGAGUGGCGAACGGGUGAGUAAUACAUCGGAACAUACCCUAUAGUGGGGGAUAGCUCGGCGAAAGCCGAAUUAAUACCGCAUACGACCUACGGGUGAAAGGGGGGGAUCGCAAGACCUCUCGCUAUUGGAGUGGCCGAUGGCUGAUUAGCUUGUUGGUGGGGUAAAAGCCUACCAAGGCUACGAUCAGUAGCUGGUCUGAGAGGACGACCAGCCACACUGGGACUGAGACACGGCCCAGACUCCUACGGGAGGCAGCAGUGGGGAAUCUUGGACAAUGGGCGAAAGCCUGAUCCAGCAAUGCCGCGUGUGCGAAGAAGGCCUUCGGGUUGUAAAGCACUUUUGUCAGGGAAGAAAUUGCUUAAGUUAAUACCUUGAGUCGUUGACGGUACCUGAAGAAUAAGCACCGGCUAACUACGUGCCAGCAGCCGCGGUAAUACGUAGGGUGCGAGCGUUAAUCGGAAUUACUGGGCGUAAAGCGUGCGCAGGCGGUUUGCUAAGACAGUUGUGAAAUCCCCGGGCUCAACCUGGGAACUGCAAUUGUGACUGGUAGACUAGAGUUUGGCAGAGGGGGGUGGAAUUCCUGGUGUAGCAGUGAAAUGCGUAGAUAUCAGGAGGAACACCGAUGGCGAAGGCAGCCCCCUGGGCCCUGACUGACGCUCAUGUACGAAAGCGUGGGGAGCAAACAGGA
This 725-nucleotide ribosomal RNA is filed under the name uncultured marine bacterium. Its description in RNAcentral is "bacterial SSU rRNA". It matches the Rfam family "Bacterial small subunit ribosomal RNA", at positions 56 to 777 of the family's 1533-position model. The record is from RNAcentral.